CAGGGAUUGCCCCAGUAACGGCGAGUGAAGCGGCAACAGCUCAAAUUUGAAAUCUGGCCCCAGGCCCGAGUUGUAAUUUGCAGAGGAUGCUUUUGGCGCGGUGCCUUCCGAGUUCCCUGGAACGGGACGCCAUAGAGGGUGAGAGCCCCGUACGGUUGGACACCAAGUCUUUGUAAAGCUCCUUCGACGAGUCGAGUAGUUUGGGAAUGCUGCUCAAAAUGGGAGGUAUAUUUCUUCUAAAGCUAAAUAUUGGCCAGAGACCGAUAGCGCACAAGUAGAGUGAUCGAAAGAUGAAAAGCACUUUGAAAAGAGGGUUAAACAGCACGUGAAAUUGUUAAAAGGGAAGCGCUUAUGACCAGACUUGCGCCCGGUGAAUCACCCAGCUCUCGCGGCUGGGGCACUUUGCCGGCUCAGGCCAGCAUCAGCUCGCUGUCGGGGACAAAAGCUUCGGGAACGUAGCUCUCUUCGGGGAGUGUUAUAGCCCGUUGCACAAUACCCUUCGGCGGGCUGAGGUACGCGCUCCGCAAGGAUGCUGGCGUAAUGGUCAUCAGCGACCCGUCUUGAAACACGGACCAAGGAGUCAACCUUAUGUGCGAGUGUUUGGGUGUCAAACCCCUACGCGUAAUGAAAGUGAACGCAGGUGAGAGCUUCGGCGCAUCAUCGACCGAUCCUGAUGUUCUCGGAUGGAUUUGAGUAAGAGCAUAUAGGGUUGGACCCGAAAGAAGGUGAACUAUGCGUGUAUAGGGUGAAGCCAGAGGAAACUCUGGUGGAGGCUCGCAGCGGUUCUGACGUGCAAAUCGAUCGUCAAAUAUGCGCAUGGNGGCGAAAGACUAAUCGAACCUUCUAGUAGCUGG
This 854-nucleotide ribosomal RNA is filed under the name Colletotrichum sp. RNAcentral describes it as "partial large subunit ribosomal RNA". It matches the Rfam family "Eukaryotic large subunit ribosomal RNA", at positions 69 to 954 of the family's 3401-position model. Lineage: Eukaryota; Fungi; Ascomycota; Sordariomycetes; Glomerellales; Glomerellaceae. The record is from RNAcentral.